UAAGUAAUCACCCUAUUCUUCAAGGGAAGCAGGCAAUAGAUAACACAGUGACAGUAGCGUCCCAGGAGAUAGCAAAAUGUGAGAGCAACACACCGUCAGCAGGGGAGAGCAAUUGGCCCUAUCCAUCCACAGCACAGCGUCCCUGUGGUUGAAGG
Hemicordylus capensis (graceful crag lizard) is the source of this 155-nucleotide long non-coding RNA. RefSeq lists it as uncharacterized. Lineage: Eukaryota; Metazoa; Chordata; Lepidosauria; Squamata; Cordylidae. The transcript is spliced from 3 exons. The record is from RefSeq and is a predicted model, not a curated record.